UAAGAGGUGUCAGAGCAGAAAUAGGACUGAUGGGCCGUUUUCUUUUACCCACGCAGAUAACUAAACUCUCCAGGAUCUACAAGGAAGUGAGACCUAAUCGCAUACCCAAGAUUAGGGGUGAGGGCUUCAUUUCAGGAGCUGAGUGGUAUGGUCCAAGGUCAAGCCUUUUGAUAUGGACUCCAUAGAGGGCGCUGAAAAAGUGAAUUGGACAAGACUCCAGAGCAGGUACUCUUGAGAUGGGGACAGGCUCAGCCUUGGAUUAAAGACAACAGUGAGAAUAGAACUGGAGAUGCAGGCCCAGGAGAGUGAAAAGAAGGAACAAGAGAAGACUAAGGAGAAAGAGAAGGGAA
Peromyscus leucopus (white-footed mouse) is the source of this 350-nucleotide long non-coding RNA. RefSeq lists it as uncharacterized. The record is from RefSeq and is a predicted model, not a curated record. The transcript has 3 exons. Lineage: Eukaryota; Metazoa; Chordata; Mammalia; Rodentia; Cricetidae.